CCUACGGGAGGCAGCAGUGAGGAAUAUUGGUCAAUGGGCGAGAGCCUGAACCAGCCAAGUCGCGUGAGGGAGUACUGCCCUAUGGGUUGUCAACCUCUUUUGUCGGGGAGCAAAAGCCGGACGUGUCCGGCUGUGAGAGUACCCGAAGAAAAAGCAUCGGCUAACUCCGUGCAAGCAGCCGCGGUAAUAAGGAGGAUGCGAGAGUUAUCCGGAUUUAUUGGGUUUAAAGGGUGCGCAGGCGGAUUUUUAAGUCAGCGGUCACAUCGUGGGGCUCAACCCCAUCCAGCCGUUGAAACUGGGGAUCUAGAGUGUGCGAGAGGGAUGCGGAAGGCGUGGUGUAGCGGUGAAAUGCAUAGAUAUCACGCAGAACCCCGAUUGCGAAGGCAGCAUACCGGUGCACAACUGACGCUCAGGCACGAAAGCGUGGGUAUCGAACAGGAUGAGAUACCCGAGUAGUC
Molecule: ribosomal RNA, 458 nt
Filed under: uncultured bacterium
Lineage: Bacteria
Description: partial 16S ribosomal RNA
Rfam family: Bacterial small subunit ribosomal RNA
Source: RNAcentral